UAGGUAAUGAAAAAGUGCUUCCCCUUACUUUCGUAGGUACUGUUAAUAAAUCUAUUAGCAACUGUUGGUAGAUCAACUUCUUAAUCUCUGCGAACAUGAAGAAUUGAAGUAUCAUUAUAACGUUUUUGAAACGUUCUUGAUCUGACUAGCUGAGAUAUGUCUUAAGUCUCCAAAGUGCAGAAAAUUAUCUCUUAACUGUGCAAGAAGAUACUGAAAUUAUUAACACAAUUUUUAAUACUUUAUUUAAAUCUGGUAGUAAGUACAGGCAUCUUAUUAGUCCUGAAAAGAUUAUUUAAUACCUCUGUGUUGUAAAUUAAAAUAACUCUUGUUUUUGAUGGGACCACAUAAAAAAGGCGAUCAUAUUUCAGCCGAAAAAUAUUUUUCCAGAAUCGUAUUUGAGCUGACAGUAUUUCAGCCAACAGUUCGAAUAUACAUAGAUACAUAGAUAAUAGAUAUGGAUACGAGUUUGGUAGAUAAGGCCGGAC
This is a non-coding RNA of Cinara cedri, 485 nucleotides long. NCBI's taxonomy places the organism in Eukaryota, Metazoa, Arthropoda, Insecta, Hemiptera, Aphididae. The record is from the annotation of a GenBank genome assembly.